UUUCCACACUUCUUUACAUUACCCAUCUCUGCCUUUCUAUUUUGAAUCCCCUUGAGAAAGCCGGAGAGGUUCACUUCGACUAACAUAAAUGUGGAAAUUAGGACAACUACAUUUUUUUCUUCGGUGGAAGAAAGAAGACAAAAGAA
Non-coding RNA from Caenorhabditis elegans, 146 nucleotides. The record is from Ensembl. Lineage: Eukaryota; Metazoa; Nematoda; Chromadorea; Rhabditida; Rhabditidae.